This 253-nucleotide ribosomal RNA is filed under the name uncultured bacterium. Its description in RNAcentral is "partial 16S ribosomal RNA". It matches the Rfam family "Bacterial small subunit ribosomal RNA", at positions 524 to 776 of the family's 1533-position model. The record is from RNAcentral.
UACGGAGGGGGCAAGCGUUGUUCGGAAUUACUGGGCGUAAAGAGCUCGUAGGUGGUUUGUCGCGUUGUCCGUGAAAACUCACAGCUUAACUGUGGGCGUGCGGGCGAUACGGGCAGACUGGAGUACUGCAGGGGAGACUGGAAUUCCUGGUGUAGCGGUGGAAUGCGCAGAUAUCAGGAGGAACACCGGUGGCGAAGGCGGGUCUCUGGGCAGUAACUGACGCUGAGGAGCGAAAGCGUGGGGAGCGAACAGG